This 486-nucleotide ribosomal RNA is filed under the name uncultured bacterium. RNAcentral's name for it is "partial 16S ribosomal RNA". It matches the Rfam family "Bacterial small subunit ribosomal RNA", at positions 30 to 507 of the family's 1533-position model. The record is from RNAcentral.
AUUGAACGCUGGCGGCAUGCCUUACACAUGCCAGUCGAACGGCAGCACGGGUGCUUGCACCCGGUGGCGAGUGGCGAACGGGUGAGUAAUACAUCGGAACAUGUCCUGUAGUGGGGGAUAGCCCGGCGAAAGCCGGAUUAAUACCGCAUACGAUCCACGGAUGAAAGCGGGGGACCUUCGGGCCUCGCGCUAUAGGGUUGGCCGAUGGCUGAUUAGCUAGUUGGUGGGGUAAAGGCCUACCAAGGCGACGAUCAGUAGCUGGUCUGAGAGGACGACCAGCCACACUGGGACUGAGACACGGCCCAGACUCCUACGGGAGGCAGCAGUGUGGAAUUUUGGACAAUGGGCGAAAGCCUGAUCCAGCAAUGCCGCGUGUGUGAAGAAGGCCUUCGGGUUGUAAAGCACUUUUGUCCGGAAAGAAAUCCUUGACUCUAAUACAGUCGGGGGAUGACGGUACCGGAAGAAUAAGCACCGGCUAACUACGUG